UACGGAGGAUCCAAGCGUUAUCCGGAAUCAUUGGGUUUAAAGGGUCCGUAGGCGGGCCAGUAAGUCAGUGGUGAAAUCUCCCGGCUCAACCGGGAAAUGGCCAUUGAUACUGCUGGUCUUGAAUUAUUAGGAAGUAACUAGAAUAUGUAGUGUAGCGGUGAAAUGCUUAGAGAUUACAUGGAAUACCAAUUGCGAAGGCAGGUUACUACUAAUGGAUUGACGCUGAUGGACGAAAGCGUGGGUAGCGAACAGGAUUAGAUACCCUGGUAGUCCACGCCGUAAACGAUGGAUACUAGCUGUUGGGGGCAACUUCAGUGGCUAAGCGAAAGUGAUAAGUAUCCCACCUGGGGAGUACGUUCGCAAGAAUG
RNAcentral lists this ribosomal RNA (368 nucleotides) under uncultured prokaryote. RNAcentral's name for it is "bacterial SSU rRNA". It matches the Rfam family "Bacterial small subunit ribosomal RNA", at positions 524 to 896 of the family's 1533-position model. The record is from RNAcentral.